UGCGUAGGCGGAAUGAUAAGUUAGUGGUGAAAGCCCCCGGCUCAACCGGGGAACUGCCAUUAAUACUGUCAUUCUUGAGUAUAGUUGAAGUGGGCGGAAUGUAUCAUGUAGCGGUGAAAUGCUUAGAUAUGAUACAGAACACCGAUAGCGUAGGCAGCUUGCUAAACUAUAACUGACGCUCAGGCACGAAAGCGUGGGGAGCAAACAGGAUUGAUACCCUGGUAGUCC
Molecule: ribosomal RNA, 228 nt
Filed under: uncultured bacterium
Lineage: Bacteria
Description: partial 16S ribosomal RNA
Rfam family: Bacterial small subunit ribosomal RNA
Source: RNAcentral